This 89-nucleotide microRNA precursor is filed under the name Trichophyton rubrum BMU01672. The record is from RNAcentral. Lineage: Eukaryota; Fungi; Ascomycota; Eurotiomycetes; Onygenales; Arthrodermataceae.
AGCAACAAUGGCACAGAAACGAAUUGGCGAGAUAGAGAGAGAGAGACAACGGCUUACCUGGAGCUUGCUGAGACCUGGUGAGCUUCUUG